This is a long non-coding RNA of Syngnathus acus (greater pipefish), 645 nucleotides long. RefSeq lists it as uncharacterized. The record is from RefSeq and is a predicted model, not a curated record. Lineage: Eukaryota; Metazoa; Chordata; Actinopteri; Syngnathiformes; Syngnathidae. The transcript is spliced from 3 exons.
GUAAUUGAAAGCUUUCAAUGAAGGUCAACUCUGAAAUCGAGGCAAAUCUUCCAUCUUGGCUGCAUCUCCAUUGCUUCGACAGUUAUGAACCUCGCCGCAUUAAUGAUCAUUAAUAAUUGCUCGCUGCACAAUACUCCCGUGCAUUUGGAUCUGCUUGCCGUGCGUGUGUACGUGCGCGUGCGCGCGCAACAGUUUAACCUCGGAACCGCAACAACUGAGGCUUUCUAAUCGGUCUCUCACUCCUUCCUCCUCCACCCUGCAGCCUCGCUGUAGCCGCCUUCUCUCCCUCUCUCCAUUUGUCUCUCUCUCCCCUCCUGCCUGCUUGCUUGCCUCCGCUCUUGCGUCCUGAUCCGACUCGUUUCUGACACCGCGAGCACUACGCCGCCGCGAAGCAGAGCACCAGGGGCAUAGGAGGAGGAGGUGCAGGAGGAGAGGGCCCCGGUAGCGAGAAGUCGGAACCGGCCAACGAGCGCGCGCGCUCGCGCGUGGCAGGUUGGCGAAAGGUAAGCCGACUGUGCCCUUGGGUCCACGGGCGGGAUGGGGGAUCGAAAGCGCGCGUGGAUCUGCCAGCAGGCUACAUUGCUACGAGAGUCAUUUUCCUUCCGUCUUUGCCCAUCAUCAUCGUCAUUAUCAUCACUCAUUAUC